CAGCCUAGGCUGGGCCAACUUGGUGUUCGACCCGGGACUUAGAACCUUCAACAAAUUGUGCAAACAUUCAGGGACAUCUUCCAGCUGUGGUCUUAAAUGAUCCGGUUCCCCUCUCCUUGCUAACUGUCCUGUCUUCAUCCCUGGACCGUGCAACUAUGAGAUGAUGGGAAAGAUGACUGCACUUAACCCUUCUUGAUCUGGACCCACUCCCCUCCACUAGCACUGCUUCCUCCGGCACCGGCACUUUCCUUCCCAGCCUACUGCCUGCUCCUGCACGUACUGCUGUUUCCAGCCAAGGCAUCGCCUUUACAGCCAAAGGACAGGGCAGUGGGGAGACCCCAUGGGAUUCACUAGGGUUCCAUGUACCCUGUCCCUCCACAGGACCCACCCCUGUGGGAUGGUGAUCUGGCUUCUCAGGACCACUCAGGAUUAUUUAGGAGCUCAGCUGGAAGAUGCCACCACAAGACUGCAGAGAGUCCUACAGCAUAUGACCCUGGACCCUGGUGAAUGGUGCCGUUCCCCUAAACCAGAAUCCACAGGCCGGGGGCCUACGGGUGAGAGUGAGGGCAGCACUUAUGGUUGGAACAUUCACAAAAGUUUACCUCUUGGCCC
This 612-nucleotide long non-coding RNA is filed under the name Homo sapiens (human). Its description in RNAcentral is "HSALNT0171181". Lineage: Eukaryota; Metazoa; Chordata; Mammalia; Primates; Hominidae. The record is from RNAcentral.